RNAcentral lists this ribosomal RNA (484 nucleotides) under uncultured bacterium. RNAcentral's name for it is "partial 16S ribosomal RNA". It matches the Rfam family "Bacterial small subunit ribosomal RNA", at positions 29 to 507 of the family's 1533-position model. The record is from RNAcentral.
AUUGAACGCUGGCGGAAUGCUUUACACAUGCAAGUCGAGCGGCAGCGCGGCCUUCGGGCUGGCGGCGAGCGGCGAACGGGUGAGUAAUGCAUCGGAACAUGCCCAGUCGCGGGGGAUAACACUUCGAAAGAAGUGCUAAUACCGCAUACGUCCUGAGGGGGAAAGCGGGGGAUCGCAAGACCUCGCGCGAUUGGAGUGGCCGAUGUCAGAUUAGCUAGUUGGUGGGGUAAAGGCCUACCAAGGCGACGAUCUGUAGCUGGUCUGAGAGGAUGAUCAGCCACACUGGGACUGAGACACGGCCCAGACUCCUACGGGAGGCAGCAGUGGGGAAUUUUGGACAAUGGGGGCAACCCUGAUCCAGCCAUUCCGCGUGAGUGAAGAAGGCCUUCGGGUUGUAAAGCUCUUUCGGCAGGAACGAAACGGUGGGCUCUAACAUAGUCCGCUAAUGACGGUACCUGAAGAAGAAGCACCGGCUAACUACGUG